AGAGUUUGAUCAUGGCUCAGGAUGAACGCUAGCUACAGGCUUAACACAUGCAAGUCGAGGGGAAACGACAUCGAAAGCUUGCUUUUGAUGGGCGUCGACCGGCGCACGGGUGAGUAACGCGUAUCCAACCUGCCCACCACUUGGGGAUAACCUUGCGAAAGUAAGACUAAUACCCAAUGACGUCUCUAGAAGACAUCUGAAAGAGAUUAAAGAUUUAUCGGUGAUGGAUGGGGAUGCGUCUGAUUAGCUUGUUGGCGGGGUAACGGCCACCAAGGCGACGAUCGAGUAGGGGUUCUGAGAGGAACGGUCCCCCAGAUUGGAACGUGAGACACGGUCCAAACUCCGUACGGGAGGCA
RNAcentral lists this ribosomal RNA (356 nucleotides) under uncultured bacterium. Its description in RNAcentral is "bacterial SSU rRNA". It matches the Rfam family "Bacterial small subunit ribosomal RNA", at positions 8 to 350 of the family's 1533-position model. The record is from RNAcentral.